Molecule: ribosomal RNA, 156 nt
Filed under: uncultured Bacillota bacterium
Lineage: Bacteria; Bacillati; Bacillota
Description: uncultured Firmicutes bacterium partial 16S ribosomal RNA
Source: RNAcentral
CUGCUGGCACGUAGUUAGCCGUCCCUUUCUGGUAAGCUACCGUCACGGUGUGAACUUUCCACUCUCACACCCGUUCUUGACUUACAACAGAGCUUUACGAUCCGAAAACCUUCUUCACUCACGCGGCGUUGCUCGGUCAGGGUUGCCCCCAUUGCC